RNAcentral lists this long non-coding RNA (1351 nucleotides) under Phoenix dactylifera (date palm). RNAcentral's name for it is "long non-coding RNA (PDAC_LNC014949)". The record is from RNAcentral. Lineage: Eukaryota; Viridiplantae; Streptophyta; Magnoliopsida; Arecales; Arecaceae.
AUUGUACGUGAGUUCCCUAAUGUUUUUUUCCAAGGGACUUGUUAGGAUUACCACCAGAUAGGGAGAUUGCAUUCUCCAUUAACUUAGUACCAAGUACAGGGCUAAUCUUUAAAGCACCGUACCGAAAGGCUCCUGCAAAGUUGAAGGUUUUAUUAGACAAGGUUUUAUUAGACCCUAUGAUGGUACACUUAAAGCUAGUUUCAUAAAAGAAAAGAAAUGUUUAAAAUUAUGUAUAGAUAUCUAUGCAUCACUUGAUUCUGAGCAUGACUACAUGUGGAAUCGGACUUGAAUAUGUGCCCCGCCAUGGGGAUAAAUAUGGGGACCCCACCAUGGGGGUAAACAUGGUGUGACCCUACCACAAAGGAUAUAUGUGGUGACCCUGCCACAAGGGUAAGCGAGGCUUGAACCUUAGCCGUAGGGGCUAAGUGCAACAUCGUGAUCACUCUUCUGAUUGAGAACCCAGACCACAGGGGUUAAAUAUAAUGACCCCGCCAUGGGGUAAACAUGACAUGACCUAUGCUGUGGGGGCUAAAUGCAGCCAUAGUCAUUGACUGUAUUGUAGAAAAUGUAAAUUGGGUACCCAGGCAUAAACAUGUGUAUAGAUUGAUUAUCAGUAUAUGAAUACGCGCAUAGUAUAAUCUUGAGACUUGAAUAAUUUUACUCUAAUUUUAGUGAUCCAUUCAUUCUAUGUAUAAUAUUGAAAAGAUGAAAUGUAUCAUGUUAGUAUGUAAAUAUUAUCAAAACUGAUGGUCAGAAAGUUACCUGUAUAGAUGUAUCAUGUUUACAUGAUUUAAUUAAGUUGCAUUGUAUGAUUUAGCUUGAUUUAAUUUUAUAAAGUGGAUUUUUUUCUUACUAGGCCGUGAAGCUCAUAAUCUUCACAUACAUUUUUUAGAUCUAGGGAUGAAAUUUUAGGGUGGCGAGAAUCGGCAUUUUAGGGCAUGUAUAUGGAGGCAAGGCCGACUUGUAGCUAGUACAUAUAGUUCCUUGGAUCAGUUUGUAUAUUAAUAUGUUGUAUGUGGAUUAUGUAUCAAUGGGUUAAAUACUAAAGUUUUGAGAUGCAAGUAUAAUAGUUAGUUAUUUCUGAUAAACACUACAAUAUGAGUAUGGAAUAUAUUAUUUUCCAAAUUAUAUUGGAUUGAUUGACAGGUAGAAUGCCUUGCAUGCUUAUACGGUAAUUCCCUAUGAGUCUGCGGCGGAUGUUCACAUCCUCAAAUUGUAAUUUUGGGGUCGGGGGCGUGAUAGUAGUUAGCUUGAAUUAUUUAGUGUACCAAAUAGAUGUAAAAAGUUGUGAGAGAUUAUGUGGGAAAAUCUCCUAGUUUCGUUGUUAAAAGGGAGGAGAAUGAAUUAUGUU